This 253-nucleotide ribosomal RNA is filed under the name uncultured bacterium. RNAcentral's name for it is "partial 16S ribosomal RNA". It matches the Rfam family "Bacterial small subunit ribosomal RNA", at positions 524 to 776 of the family's 1533-position model. The record is from RNAcentral.
UACGUAGGGUGCGAGCGUUAAUCGGAAUUACUGGGCGUAAAGCGUGCGCAGGCGGUUCGUCGUGUCCGAUGUGAAAGCCCCGGGCUCAACCUGGGAAUGGCAUUGGAAACUGGCGGGCUUGAGUGUGGCAGAGGGGGGUGGAAUUCCGCGUGUAGCAGUGAAAUGCGUAGAGAUGCGGAGGAACACCGAUGGCGAAGGCAGCCCCCUGGGCUAACACUGACGCUCAGGCACGAAAGCGUGGGUAGCAAACAGG